GAUGAACGCUAGCGGCAGGCCUAAUACAUGCAAGUCAAGGGGGUAGCAAUAUCACCGGCGCACGGGUGCGUAACGCGUAUGUAACCUACCUAUAUCAGGGGGAUAACACUCCGAAAGGGUGCUAAUACCGCAUAAUAUCAUUUGAUGGCAUCAUAAGAUGAUAAAAGCAGUAAUGUGGAUAUAGAUGGACAUGCGUGUCAUUAGCUAGUUGGUGAGGUAACGGCUCACCAAGGCGACGAUGACUAGGGGGUCUGAGAGGAUGAUCCCCCACACUGGUACUGAGAUACGGACCAGACUCCUACGGGAGGCAGCAGUAGGGAAUAUUGGGCAAUGGUCGGAAGUCUGAACCAGCCAUGCCGCGUGCAGGAAGACGGCCCUACGGGUUGUAAACUGCUUUUGCAGGGGAAUAAACCUCUCUACGUGUAGAGAGCUGAAUGUACUCUGAGAAUAAGGAUCGGCUAACUCCGUGCCAGCAGCCG
RNAcentral lists this ribosomal RNA (479 nucleotides) under uncultured bacterium. RNAcentral's name for it is "bacterial SSU rRNA". It matches the Rfam family "Bacterial small subunit ribosomal RNA", at positions 28 to 517 of the family's 1533-position model. The record is from RNAcentral.